GAUGAACGCUAGCGGCAGGCCUAAUACAUGCAAGUCGGACGGGAUUCAGGAGCUUGCUUCUGAUGAGAGUGGCGCACGGGUGCGUAACACGUAUGUAACCUACCUUUAUCAGGGGGAUAGCCUCCCUAAAGAGAGAUUAAGCCCGCAUAAAAUCACAGCACAGCAUUGUGUAAUGAUCAAAUAUUUAUAGGAUAAAGAUGGGCAUGCGGAACAUUAGCUAGAUGGCGGGGUAACGGCCCACCAUGGCGACGAUGUUUAGGGGAUCUGAGAGGAUGGCCCCCCACACUGGUACUGAGACACGGACCAGACUCCUACGGGAGGCAGCAGUAAGGAAUAUUGGUCAAUGGGCGGAAGCCUGAACCAGCCAUGCCGCGUGCAGGAAGACGGCCAUACGGGUUGUAAACUGCUUUUAUACGGGAAUAAACCCAGAUACGUGUAUCUGGCUGAAUGUACUGUAAGAAUAAGGAUCGGCUAACUCCGUG
This 482-nucleotide ribosomal RNA is filed under the name uncultured bacterium. Its description in RNAcentral is "partial 16S ribosomal RNA". It matches the Rfam family "Bacterial small subunit ribosomal RNA", at positions 28 to 507 of the family's 1533-position model. The record is from RNAcentral.